UCAACAACCACCAUCGCCACUUGC
RNAcentral lists this non-coding RNA (24 nucleotides) under Arabidopsis thaliana (thale cress). Lineage: Eukaryota; Viridiplantae; Streptophyta; Magnoliopsida; Brassicales; Brassicaceae. The record is from RNAcentral.